UACAAAGGAAUUGGACGGGGGCCCGCACAAGCAGCGGAGCGUGUGGUUUAAUUCGAUGAUACGCGAAGAACCUCACCCAGGUUUGACAUGCAGUGUGGUACCAAGGUGAAAGCUGAGGGACCCUUCGGGGAGCAUGCACAGGUGUUGCACGGCCGUCGUCAGCUCGUGCCGUGACGGUGUUGGGUUAAGUCCCGCAACGAGCGCAACCCCUGUCGCCAGUUGUAUUUUUCUGGCGAGACUGCCGAGAAAACCUCGGAGGAAGGAGGGACGAUGUCAGGUCAGCGUGGCCCUUACGCCUGGGGCUACACACACGCUACAAUGGGCAGUACAACGGGUCGCGAAGCCGCGAGGUGGAGCUAAUACCCAUCAAAGCUGUCCUCAGUUCGGAUUGCAGGCUGAAACCCGCCUGCAUGAAGCCGGAGUUGCUAGUAACCGCAGGUCAGCAUUACUGCGGUGAAUACGUUCCCGGGCCUU
Molecule: ribosomal RNA, 474 nt
Filed under: uncultured Chloroflexota bacterium
Lineage: Bacteria; Bacillati; Chloroflexota
Description: bacterial SSU rRNA
Rfam family: Bacterial small subunit ribosomal RNA
Source: RNAcentral